RNAcentral lists this transfer RNA (77 nucleotides) under Gulosibacter sp. ACHW.36C. Its description in RNAcentral is "tRNA-Leu". It matches the Rfam family "tRNA". From Rfam's summary of the family: Transfer RNA (tRNA) molecules are approximately 80 nucleotides in length. Their secondary structure includes four short double-helical elements and three loops (D, anti-codon, and T loops). Further hydrogen bonds mediate the characteristic L-shaped molecular structure. tRNAs have two regions of fundamental functional importance: the anti-codon, which is responsible for specific mRNA codon recognition, and the 3' end, to which the tRNAs corresponding amino acid is attached (by aminoacyl-tRNA synthetases). tRNAs cope with the degeneracy of the genetic code in two manners: having more than one tRNA (with a specific anti-codon) for a particular amino acid; and 'wobble' base-pairing, i.e. permitting non-standard base-pairing at the 3rd anti-codon position. Lineage: Bacteria; Bacillati; Actinomycetota; Actinomycetes; Micrococcales; Microbacteriaceae. The record is from RNAcentral.
CCCCCCGUAGCCCAAUUGGCAGAGGCACGCGACUUAAAAUCGCGAAAGUGUCGGUUCGAACCCGACCGGGGGGACCA